This 329-nucleotide unclassified non-coding RNA is filed under the name soil metagenome. RNAcentral's name for it is "partial contains 5.8S ribosomal RNA, internal transcribed spacer 2, and large subunit ribosomal RNA". The stretch from base 1 to 120 matches the Rfam family "5.8S ribosomal RNA", at positions 35 to 154 of the family's 154-position model. The record is from RNAcentral.
GAUGAAGAACGCAGCGAAAUGCGAUAAGUAGUGUGAAUUGCCGAAUUCAGUGAAUCAUCGAAUCUUUGAACGCACAUUGCGCCCCUUGGUAUCCCGAGGGGCAUGCCUGUUCGAGCGUCAUUUCACCACUCAAGCCUGGCUUGGUGUUGGGCGACGUCCUCUUUGGGGACGCGCCUCGAAACGCUCGGCGGCGUGGCACCGGCUUUAAGCGUAGCAGAAUCUUUCGCUUUGGAAGUCGGGGCCCCGUCUGCCGGAAGACCUGCUCGCAAGGUUGACCUCGGAUCAGGCAGGGAUACCCGCUGAACUUAAGCAUAUCAAUAAGCGGAGGA